GCUGGGUGUGGUGGCUCCCGCCUGUAGUCCCAGCUACUCAGGAGGCUGAGACAGGAGGAUCUCUUGAGCCCAGGAAGUCAAGGCUGCAGUGAGCCAUGAUCACACCACUGCACUCCAGCCUGGGUGACAGAGUGAGACCCUGUCUCAA
This is a non-coding RNA of Nomascus leucogenys (northern white-cheeked gibbon), 148 nucleotides long. It matches the Rfam family "Metazoan signal recognition particle RNA". From Rfam's summary of the family: The signal recognition particle (SRP) is a universally conserved ribonucleoprotein. It is involved in the co-translational targeting of proteins to membranes. The record is from Rfam. NCBI's taxonomy places the organism in Eukaryota, Metazoa, Chordata, Mammalia, Primates, Hylobatidae.